RNAcentral lists this ribosomal RNA (482 nucleotides) under uncultured bacterium. RNAcentral describes it as "partial 16S ribosomal RNA". It matches the Rfam family "Bacterial small subunit ribosomal RNA", at positions 30 to 507 of the family's 1533-position model. The record is from RNAcentral.
AUUGAACGCUGGCGGCAUGCCUUACACAUGCAAGUCGAACGGUAACGGGCCUUCGGGUGCCGACGAGUGGCGAACGGGUGAGUAAUACAUCGGAACGUGCCCGAUCGUGGGGGAUAACGAGGCGAAAGCUUUGCUAAUACCGCAUACGAUCUACUGAUGAAAGCAGGGGACCGCAAGGCCUUGCGCGGACGGAGCGGCCGAUGGCAGAUUAGGUAGUUGGUGGGAUAAAAGCUUACCAAGCCGACGAUCUGUAGCUGGUCUGAGAGGAUGAUCAGCCACACUGGGACUGAGACACGGCCCAGACUCCUACGGGAGGCAGCAGUGGGGAAUUUUGGACAAUGGGCGCAAGCCUGAUCCAGCCAUGCCGCGUGCAGGAUGAAGGCCUUCGGGUUGUAAACUGCUUCUGUACGGAACGAAAAGCCUUCUUUUAAUACAGGAGGGUCAUGACGGUACCGUAAGAAUAAGCACCGGCUAACUACGUG